Molecule: transfer RNA, 72 nt
Filed under: Stegodyphus mimosarum
Lineage: Eukaryota; Metazoa; Arthropoda; Arachnida; Araneae; Eresidae
Rfam family: tRNA
About the family: Transfer RNA (tRNA) molecules are approximately 80 nucleotides in length. Their secondary structure includes four short double-helical elements and three loops (D, anti-codon, and T loops).
Source: Rfam by way of RNAcentral
GCCGUCGUGGUGCAGUUGGAAACAUGCCCAGCUAACAAUCCGUAGGUCCAGGUUCGAAUCCUGGCAAAGGCA